Molecule: non-coding RNA, 113 nt
Organism: Acanthosepion pharaonis
Lineage: Eukaryota; Metazoa; Mollusca; Cephalopoda; Sepiida; Sepiidae
Source: the annotation of a GenBank genome assembly
UUACGGCUAUAUCACGUUGAAACAUCGAUUCUCGUAUGAUCACUGAAGAUAAGCAACGUUGUGCCUGGUCAGUACUUAGAUGGGUGACUGCUUGAAAAUACCAGAUGCUGUAA